ACUCUCUCCAUAUAUAUCCUUCUUUCUUUCUGGCUGGCACGCUCUUUGACCAUUUUGUCCUCUUCGAAAUUUUCUCAACAUCUUCAUUCUUUUCUUUUAAUUUAUUUUGUUUUUGUAUGUUGCUUGCAAUACAUUGCAUAUUAUAUAGAGGAAAUUCAUUCAUAUUUAAUAUUGUCAUUACAGUUAUUCAUCCAUCAUUUUCUGUUUGUUGCCUUCUUUUGCACCUUGUAUCAUUGAUGAUCACAGUUAGCAUAGCAUCACAGAAAAUAAACAAGUCUUCUACUUUAAAAGUGAUUUUCUUUUUGAUCCUACUAAAUGGCCACGGGCACAAAUGGAGGAGGAUUUCCUAAAGCCAUCACAAAUGAAAAGGAUUUUAUAUUUUGAUUGUCAUGGAUAUUGAUUUUUUUUGCUGCAGGAUCAUUGUCUAGUUGAUUUGUUACACGGAUGGCAGGAUGGAAGACUUCCUGUAGAUAUAACUUGUGUAAUUAGGUUUUGCUUUAACACCCUUUACAGUCACUGAGGUUGUCCAUGAGUCCAAGCUCCUAAUCAAGUUGUGUCACAUCCUCACAACAAGCAUCACAUGCUAUCAUGAGCACUACAAGCUACAAAGAAGUGGGUGCAUGACGAAAUGGUGGAGCAGAACCAGAAGCAAAUUGCUCAUAGAAAAUCCAUUGAUACCUUUGGCCAGAGAACAUCUCAAUAUAGAGGUGUUACAAGGCAUAGGUGGACUGGUAGAUAUGAAGCUCAUCUAUGGAAUAAUAGUUGCAAGAAAGAGGGUCAGAGUAGGAAAGGAAGGCAAGAUUACUCCACUCAAAUAUACCAUGGAUCUCAGUUUAUCUAGGUAAGGUACUUUACUUCGCAGUCUUACAAAACAUAUUUUGCAGAGGCUUUGAUUGCAGAAGCAGAAGGCGACAAAGACAUCGUUCGUUGCAAUCCAUGCUGUAAUGGGACGUGGUACUGGCAUGAAUCUCUUCCUUCUUCGAUUCCCAACAAGAUGCUUUGAUGUGGGGAUAAAACAACAUGCUGUUACAUUUGCUGGAGGUCUAGCUUGUGAAGGUCUCAAGCCUUUCUGUGCAAUUUACUCACCAUUCAUGCAGAAGGCUUAUGACCAAGUGGUAGUGCAUGAUGGUAAGAUUUGCAAUGGAUAGAGCUAGAUUAUUUGGUGCAAAUGGCCCUACACAUUGUGGUUCUUUUGAUGUCACUUUUAUGGCAUGUCUUCCUAACAUGGUGGUGAUGGCUCUUUCUGCAAGGUUCAAUGCAAUUUCACUCUAUGUACAUGUUACUUCUAGAGAACAUAGUUCUGAAGACUUUCUUUCUUGCUGGAGUGACUUUGCAUUCAUAUUUUUAUUUUGAGAUUUUUAUGUUAUUAGAAUUUUGAUGAUAUUAAAAUAUUGAAAUUGUUGUUUUAUUUUACUUAAAAAAAAAACAGUAAUAAUUAUGUAGAAUAAUACUAUAUAUGUUUGGAACUAUUGACGUUGAGAAUUUUUUUAUAUUUAGAAUUA
Molecule: long non-coding RNA, 1502 nt
Organism: Arachis stenosperma
Lineage: Eukaryota; Viridiplantae; Streptophyta; Magnoliopsida; Fabales; Fabaceae
Exons: 6
Source: RefSeq, a predicted model, not a curated record